GAAGGUCCGGGCGUUAUCCGGAUUUAUUGGGUUUAAAGGGAGCGUAGGCCGCAUGUUAAGCGUGCCGUGAAAUGCCGUGGCUCAACCAUGGCACUGCGGCGCGAACUGGCUUGCUUGAGUGCGCGGAACGUAUGCGGAAUUCGUGGUGUAGCGGUGAAAUGCUUAGAUAUCACGAAGAACUCCGAUUGCGAAGGCAGCAUACGGCAGCGCUACUGACGCUGAAGCUCGAAGGCGCGGGUAUCGAAC
Molecule: ribosomal RNA, 246 nt
Filed under: uncultured bacterium
Lineage: Bacteria
Description: partial 16S ribosomal RNA
Rfam family: Bacterial small subunit ribosomal RNA
Source: RNAcentral